This 369-nucleotide ribosomal RNA is filed under the name Triticum aestivum (bread wheat). RNAcentral describes it as "partial small subunit ribosomal RNA". Lineage: Eukaryota; Viridiplantae; Streptophyta; Magnoliopsida; Poales; Poaceae. The record is from RNAcentral.
AUGAAUUGCCUAAGUUGGAACUGCCGGGGAGGGGGGAACUCCCCGACAGUUCGAGAAUUAGCGACGGUAUGUCAGUUGCGUUCCCCCAUGUUUGUGUUCUUAUGUGAGACUAUGCAAAAGGAAUCUAAGAUGAGGAGGAUACGUAAUCGCCUGGGAUUAAAGGGUUUUUGUGGCGUUGACAGCGAUGGACUGAGUGGAGGGCUGGCUGUUUAUUGGCAUGAGAAUUGUGUUGUUGAGAUAGUUGACAAAGAUGAGCGUCAUAUUGAUGCUCUGGUUCGGCUCCAGGAGGGUGCAAAUCAAUGGCGUGUUACUUUCGUCUAUGGUGAACCCCGUGUUGAAAAUAGGCACCUCAUGUGGGCUAAGCUAUAG